RNAcentral lists this long non-coding RNA (676 nucleotides) under Nicotiana tabacum (common tobacco). RNAcentral describes it as "long non-coding RNA (NTAB_LNC015097)". The record is from RNAcentral. Lineage: Eukaryota; Viridiplantae; Streptophyta; Magnoliopsida; Solanales; Solanaceae.
CAUUAGGGUUUUAAACCCUAAACUGAACUUUUUUUUCUCAGCCAGCAUUAGGGUUUUAAACCCUAAACUGAGCUUUUCCUUCCAGUCAGCAUUAGGGUUUUAAACCCUAAACUGAGUUUUUCCUUUCAGUCAGCAUUAGGGUUUUAAAACCCUAAACUGAAUUUUUCCUUUAAUCAGCAUUAGGGUUUUAAAACCCUAAACUGAAUUUUUCCUUUAGUCAGCAUUAGGGUUUUAAACCCUAAACUGAACUUUUUCCCAUUCAGCCAGCAUUAGGGUUUUAAACCCUAAACUGAGCUUUUCCAUGCAAUCAGCAUUAGGGUUUUAAACCCUAAACUGAAUUUUUCCUUUAGUCAGCAUUAGGGUUUUAAACCCUAAACUGAACUCUUUCCUUUAGUCAGCACUAGGGUUUUAAACCCUGAACUGAACUUUUUCCUUUAAUCAGCCUUAGGGUUUUAAACCCUAAACUGAACUUUUUCCAUUCAGCCAGCAUUAGAGUUUUAAACCCUAAACUGAGCUUUUCCAUGCAGUCAGCAUUAGGGUUUUAAACCCUAAACUGGCCCUUUUCCUUUAAUCAGCGUUAAGGUUUUAAACCCUAAACUGAACCUUUUUCCUUUCAGCCAGCAUUAGGGUUUAAACCCUAAACUGAGCUUUUUCAUGCAAUCAGCAUUAGGGUUUU